This 475-nucleotide ribosomal RNA is filed under the name uncultured bacterium. Its description in RNAcentral is "bacterial SSU rRNA". It matches the Rfam family "Bacterial small subunit ribosomal RNA", at positions 28 to 507 of the family's 1533-position model. The record is from RNAcentral.
GAUAAACGCUGGCGGCGCACAUAAGACAUGCAAGUCGAACGAACUUAACUCAUUCUUUUAGUUUGAGAGCGGUUAGUGGCGGACUGGUGAGUAACACGUAAGCAACCUGCCUAUUAGAGGGGAAUAACAGUGAGAAAUCAUUGCUAAUACCGCAUAUGCUAACAGUAUCGCAUGAUACAGUUAGGAAAGGAGUAAUCCGCUAAUAGAUGGGCUUGCGUCUGAUUAGAUAGUUGGUGGGGUAACGGCCUACCAAGUCGACGAUCAGUAGCCGGACUGAGAGGUUGAACGGCCACAUUGGGACUGAGAUACGGCCCAGACUCCUACGGGAGGCAGCAGUCGGGAAUAUUGCGCAAUGGAGGAAACUCUGACGCAGUGACGCCGCGGUAUAGGAAGAAGGUUUUCGGAAUUGUAAACUAUUGUCGUUAGGGAAGAGUACAAGACAGUACCUAAGGAGGAAGCCCCGGCUAACUAUGUG